Long non-coding RNA from Tympanuchus pallidicinctus (lesser prairie-chicken), 1682 nucleotides. RefSeq lists it as uncharacterized. The transcript has 4 exons. The record is from RefSeq and is a predicted model, not a curated record. NCBI's taxonomy places the organism in Eukaryota, Metazoa, Chordata, Aves, Galliformes, Phasianidae.
UUCAGCUUGCAUCUCUGUGCAUUUGGGGUGGCUUGAAAAAUGCUGAGAGAGAAUGAAGGAGUUACACUGCCUGACUUCAGCCUCAUGAUGUCUAGUGCAGAGGAGAAGAAAGGCACAGUGAGUCCUGAGCCUGCUCCUAUACAGAGGGCACUGAUAAGCAUGUGUAAUGGAAGCAGAGCACAGGAUCAUUCUCCAGCCCUCACCUCACUGGGAGGAGGAGGCUUGCCAUUGCACACCUGAGCUGCAGCAGCACCUACAGGCUUGUUCCUUCCAUUCACCCCAGCUGUGCCCCCUGAGGAUCCUUCUCAGCCUGCAUAGGAUCACUGCUAAUUCUCAUUCUCCACGAGUUGGCUGUGAUUGCAGCAGUGCCCACGCCCCCUGGGGAGCCACCAGCCCUGCUGCUGGAGCCACAGCGUGUCUGCAGGGCGCCCGGCAGGUCAGCAUCUAAGCAGACAAGAUGGAUGCGCAGCACAGCUGAAAGAAACACAGCGACUCCCAUUUCAGAGGCAGGAGAAAUGGAGCAGAAAAAAAGAUGAAGGCCCCGGUCUCCUCUGUGUAAAGUUUUGCUGACAAAAGUUCGUGUGCAUCCAUGAACUGGGGAAUUCCCCAGCUGGGAGUGAACCAGGAGGCAGGGUCAGGGCUCCCAUCUGCAGUGCCUGGUGUUGUUGCAGGGAUGUCUGGACUUGGGGCACUGAGAUGUGCAGCCACUGCUGGUCCUCGCUUGUGCCAGAGGUCUGGUGUUCUCAGUGUGCCAGAGAGGGCAGAGACAGGAGGAGGAUGCCCAGUGCUGUGCUUGGCAGUUGAAGAGACUCAAUCCCCCUGACUCUAAGAAGGCUGUGAUCCAGAGCAUGUCUCCAAAUCCUGGGCUCAUCUGAAGGCUAAUGGUGUCAAGAGGAAGGCCCCUGAUUGCUCUUGGAUGAGGCAGCUGAUGGAGCUUUCUCCAUCACUUGGUGGGAGGUGGUGAACUUGCUGGUGAAGGACAUGCCAGCUCCCUGUCCAGAAACUGCUGUGCUCUGGAGCAGGAGGGAGGAGCCAUCCAGCCAAAAGCAAUGACCUUAUCAUUAUUUGCCUCUUGCGCAAAACUCUGAUGAAAACAGAUGGAGUGUUUGCAAGUCUUUAAUAAAGACAAAAUAAACCAAAACAGAGCCUGGGAAUCUGAAGGCAAGAUUCUAUUUGCUCUUGGUCUUGCCAGGCAUGGCAGGAAGUGGGUUGUAAUAGUUGUCUUCUGGGGACAGCCCAAGGAGAAUGGGCACCUCAAGGUGGGCAGGGCGUGUUGUCCCCACUGAGCACUCUGUCUGCGGGAGCUGAGCCAGACACCUCCACCCUCAUCCAUCAGCAGGGAUGGAGCAGCCCAUGCCUCCCUCCUCCUUCCGCUGCUGUGUGCUUUGGACAUGCACUAAAAGCAGAGCUGUCGGUUAAAAUAAGAGCUGCUUUUCCGGCUCCCAGAGGAACCCUGCUGUGACCUGCGAGGUGUUGCAAUCCCUCUCUGCCACUGGCCUGCCUGGGUUUUGCCACCUUCCUCCCCCUUCCAUGGUGCUUAUCGCAGCGUUUUGGUAGAACUGCCCUUGUCAUAUAAAUCUGAACAUAAUUCUCUCUUUCCUGUUAAGCUAAAGAAAAUAAACGUGUAGGGCUGUUACUGGAAGCCAAGCUGUAGGACUGCCCUAAAUUCUCUUCUUAUUGAG